GUUCCAGACUCCUACGGGAGGCAGCAGUGGGGAAUAUUGCACAAUGGGGGAAACCCUGAUGCAGCAACGCCGCGUGAGUGAAGAAGUAUUUCGGUAUGUAAAGCUCUAUCAGCAGGGAAGAAGAAGGACGGUACCUGACUAAGGAGCCCCGGCUAACUACGUGCCAGCAGCCGCGGUAAUACGUAGGGGGCGAGCGUUAUCCGGAUUUACUGGGUGUAAAGGGAGCGUAGACGGUUAAUCAAGUCUGAAGUGAAAGCCCGCGGCUCAACUGCGGAACGGCUUUGGAAACUGAGUAACUGGAGUGCUGGAGGGGCAGGCGGAAUUCCUGGUGUAGCGGUGAAAUGCGUAGAUAUUAGGAGGAACACCAGUGGCGAAGGCGGCUUACUGGACUGUAACUGACGUUGAGGCUCGAAAGCGUGGGGAGCAAACAGGAUUAGAUACCCUCGUA
This 448-nucleotide ribosomal RNA is filed under the name uncultured bacterium. RNAcentral describes it as "bacterial SSU rRNA". It matches the Rfam family "Bacterial small subunit ribosomal RNA", at positions 328 to 792 of the family's 1533-position model. The record is from RNAcentral.